UGCAUGUCUGAGUACAGACCGAUCUAAGGUGAAACCGCGAAUGGCUCAUUAAAUCAGUCGUAAUUUCUUGGAUAGUGAAAAACUUUCCUCGGAUAACUGUGGAAAAUCCAGAGCUAAUACGUGCAACUGAGCUCCGACCUAGGCGCGAGCCUUGGGAAGAGCGCAUUUAUUAGAUUCAAAACUGACCGACGUACUCCUCCGGGAUACGUCGUUCGUCAAAUGUUUGAUGACUCCGGAUAACUUAGCCGAGCGCUACGGUCUUUAGUACCGGCGCCGUAUCUUUCAAGUGUCUGCCUUAUCAGCUUUCGAUUGUAGGUUAAACGCCUACAAUGGCUGUAACGGGUAACGGGGAAUCAGGGUUCGAUUCCGGAGAGGGAGCCUGAGAAACGGCUACCACAUCUAAGGAAGGCAGCAGGCACGCAAAUUACCCACUCCCAGCCCGGGGAGGUAGUGACGAAAAAUAACGAUGCGAGACUCUUCCGAGGCCUCGCAAUCGGAAUGAGUCCAUCCUAAAUCUUUGGACGAGGAUCCAUUGGAGGGCAAGUCUGGUGCCAGCAGCCGCGGUAAUUCCAGCUCCAAUAGCGUAUAUUAAAGUUGCUGCGGUUAAAAAGCUCGUAGUUGGACUUUCUAGAUCCAUUUCGUGGGUGAGUCGCUCGUUGUACUAGCGAUUCGCGUCAGUCACUAGAUGAUGUCGUGUUUAGUCGGCGUGAUUUCUACUAAGUAAGCUUCGCGGUUUACGAUAGGGGAACCGUCUUCKAUUCGCGGUAAACUUUCUAGCGGACGGCGUUUCUCGGUCUUCGGGUAUAGCUCGCCCGCGUUUGGUACAAUUAAAAUUUUGUCGGCUCGCUCGGAGUGCUCUUUACCGAGUGUUCCAGGGUGGCCGACACGUUCACUUUGAAAAAAUUAGAGUGCUUAAAGCGGGCUGUAAAAACGGCCGGAAUGUCUGUGCAUGGAAUGAAGUAACAGGACCUCGAUUCUGUUCUUUUUGUCGGUUUUAAUGAACCGAGGUAAUGAUUAAAAGGGACAGACGGUGGCAUUAGUAUUGCGACGCUAGAGGUGAAAUUCUUGGACCGUCGCAAGACUAACUACUGCGAAAGCAUUUGCCGAGAAUGUUUUCAUUAAUCAAGAACGAAAGUUAGAGGAUCGAAGGCGAUCAGAUACCGCCCUAGUUCUAACCCUAAACUAUGCUAACUAGCGAUCCGCCGAAGUCAUUCCCACGACUCGGCGGGAAGCCCCAGGGAAACCAAAGUCUUUGAGUUCCGGGGGAAGUAUGGUUGCAAAGCUGAAACUUAAAGGAAUUGACGGAAGGGCACCACCAGGAGUGGAGCCUGCGGCUUAAUUUGACUCAACACGGGAAACCUCACCAGGCCCGGACAUCAUAAGGA
RNAcentral lists this ribosomal RNA (1385 nucleotides) under Macrostylis sp. ML14. RNAcentral describes it as "SSU rRNA". It matches the Rfam family "Eukaryotic small subunit ribosomal RNA", at positions 52 to 1250 of the family's 1831-position model. Lineage: Eukaryota; Metazoa; Arthropoda; Malacostraca; Isopoda; Macrostylidae. The record is from RNAcentral.